RNAcentral lists this ribosomal RNA (429 nucleotides) under Pseudomonadota bacterium. RNAcentral describes it as "Proteobacteria bacterium partial 16S ribosomal RNA". It matches the Rfam family "Bacterial small subunit ribosomal RNA", at positions 355 to 776 of the family's 1533-position model. Lineage: Bacteria; Pseudomonadati; Pseudomonadota. The record is from RNAcentral.
UGGGGAAUAUUGGACAAUGGGCGAAAGCCUGAUCCAGCCAUGCCGCGUGUGUGAAGAAGGUCUUUGGAUUGUAAAGCACUUUAAGUUGGGAGGAAGGGCAGUAAGCGAAUACCUUGCUGUUUUGACGUUACCGACAGAAUAAGCACCGGCUAACUCUGUGCCAGCAGCCGCGGUAAUACAGAGGGUGCAAGCGUUAAUCGGAAUUACUGGGCGUAAAGCGCGCGUAGGCGGUUCGUUAAGUUGAAUGUGAAAGCCCCGGGCUCAACCUGGGAACUGCAUCCAAAACUGGCGAGCUAGAGUAGGGCAGAGGGUGGUGGAGUUUCCUGUGUAGCGGUGAAAUGCGUAGAUAUAGGAAGGAACACCAGUGGCGAAGGCGACCACCUGGGCUCAUACUGACACUAAGGUGCGAAAGCGUGGGGAGCAAACAGG